GGUUUGUUAGCUCAAUGGUAGAGCGUUCGCCUGUUAAGCGAAUGGUUGUGGGUUCGAGUCCCUCACUUACCGCCA
Molecule: transfer RNA, 75 nt
Filed under: Escherichia coli
Lineage: Bacteria; Pseudomonadati; Pseudomonadota; Gammaproteobacteria; Enterobacterales; Enterobacteriaceae
Also listed under: 5 other names
Description: tRNA-Asn
Rfam family: tRNA
About the family: Transfer RNA (tRNA) molecules are approximately 80 nucleotides in length. Their secondary structure includes four short double-helical elements and three loops (D, anti-codon, and T loops). Further hydrogen bonds mediate the characteristic L-shaped molecular structure. tRNAs have two regions of fundamental functional importance: the anti-codon, which is responsible for specific mRNA codon recognition, and the 3' end, to which the tRNAs corresponding amino acid is attached (by aminoacyl-tRNA synthetases). tRNAs cope with the degeneracy of the genetic code in two manners: having more than one tRNA (with a specific anti-codon) for a particular amino acid; and 'wobble' base-pairing, i.e. permitting non-standard base-pairing at the 3rd anti-codon position.
Source: RNAcentral